GUUCCCUACGGGGCGCAGCAGUAGGGAAUCUUCCACAAUGGACGAAAGUCUGAUGGAGCGACGCCGCGUGAGUGAAGAAGGGUUUCGGCUCGUAAAGCUCUGUUGGUAGGGAAGAAAGAUAGAGGUAGUAACUGGCCUUUAUUUGACGGUAAUUACUUAGAAAGUCACGGCUAACUACGUGCCAGCAGCCGCGGGAAUACGUAGGUGGCAAGCGUUGUCCGGAUUUAUUGGGCGUAAAGGGAACGCAGGCGGUCUUUUAAG
This 261-nucleotide ribosomal RNA is filed under the name uncultured bacterium. RNAcentral describes it as "partial 16S ribosomal RNA". It matches the Rfam family "Bacterial small subunit ribosomal RNA", at positions 334 to 587 of the family's 1533-position model. The record is from RNAcentral.